CUGCUACUUUAGUUUGGACUGUUCCCUAAAAAUAGCACAUGAGAGGUAUUCUGGAAUGGAUAUGAGAUAAGAAGCCAGUUCCAGUCCAGCUACAAACCCUUUCUAAUCUCCUGACUUGCAGGAUGGCUUUAUGAAAUCUGUGGUACUGCUUUUAGCCCCAUGCCUCACGGACAGGACAGCUGUCUACAUUACACAAGUAACAGGGCUGAUAUUUCUCUAAAUCCAGGAACAAGGGGGAAGAAAGCUAAAUCAUACUGUAGACCAACAUGGUGGAAUGCCAUGCUUACUAUUUUCACAUAAAAUUACUGGACAGCCUGACACCUGGUACCACUCAGUUUGACUCCUGCUUCUCCCGUGAUGAACUCAAGAUGGACGUUCUUGCCUGAACCGCAUUCCCCAAGCAGCAAUGGGGAAUGACCUGCCAUCCUCAGUCACCUGAACAACCGACCAGAAAUGUCAGGGAAAGCAGCAAGAUCCUCUGUGAGGUGUCCGCACCAGUGGGCGAGAAGGAAAGAACAUCUUACUGAUGGAACUUGUGAGGUUUUUCAUUUCUGGGAGGGGGGACUUUUUUUUAUUUUUAUUUUUUUAUUUUAUUUCUUGUAACUAGUUUAUAAAUGUAUUGUCAAUUCAAAGCUGUUUUAACUAAGUAGACACGGGUAAUUAUGUAUUGUGAGUUAAACGCAAAUAAAAAGAACUAUAACUUUUCUUUUACUGUUGCAUUUAUUUGACUGUUUUGCCAAUGAUAGCCUGGCAUGUGACAGCCUGCCUCCAGGUGUGCCACACUGCAUGUUACUAAGGCUUGUUUUAAUUCACGAGAGUUUGAAUUCCUUCUUUUACUAAAGGACAUUCAUUAUCGAACCGUUUAAUGCAGAAAUUUAUCUCCAACAUAAUUAAACAGUUCUAAAUGUUAAACUGUUAUCUUUAUCUAUAGCUGUUUGCCAAGUCUGUUCAUUUCUGUCAUAUAUUAGCAGAUGGGAGCUGUUGGCCUUCUAUAAAAAGAAAGACAUCUAGAAAUUCAAGCCUGCAUUUUGUUUCUCCCACCAACUACCCAGUCUCGUUAGAAAUUGCAUCAUAAGAUGUUUCUGAAGACCAAGUUCUUUUUCUUCCAUAUUACUUCUAUGACAAACAUAAGCUGGAAAAAAAAUCUAUUUUAAACAAAAUAUUGUGCUUAGUUUUUUUACAUUUUGUCUGCUUUUCACUUAAUGUUUAGCCUUCUGCCUGACGAUUUGGUUCAAGCUUAGUUAACACUGACAGAUCUAAGAUCUGUAUUUGGUACUUCAAAAAGAUUACUUUUAGAUUUAUGGGUGUGUAGAAAGGUGAUUUUAAAGAAGGGGAACAUAUGAUAAUGAGUCAAUUAAAUUUGAUUGGUAAAUGUGAUUCAUAUUAAUCGCCGUUUGUGAGGCUGAUCAUAGAUUGUCUAACUUGAA
Lepisosteus oculatus (spotted gar) is the source of this 1427-nucleotide long non-coding RNA. RefSeq lists it as uncharacterized. NCBI's taxonomy places the organism in Eukaryota, Metazoa, Chordata, Actinopteri, Semionotiformes, Lepisosteidae. The record is from RefSeq and is a predicted model, not a curated record.